CAUCGCAAAAUAUCCCUGCGCGCCGCGAUCUCAUCUGCCUGGGAUUUUUCCACCAUCGCAAAAUAUCCCUGCGCGCCGCGAUCUCAUCCGCCUGGGAUAUUUCCCACCGACCAGCCCAGUGCGCUCUAUCUCCUUCCAGCCACAAAGUCCCAUGGCGCACCCAUAUCCUCUGCUCCAUCUCCCUCCAGCCAUCCUUGGAUUCUUCUUCUCUUCCGCGCGCGCCUCAUCUACUGUUUUUCCAGCCGCACCCAGCUCCUAUUCGCCAUGACGCACGAACGAGCUACUCUCCUCCCAUCUCCUUCCUCGCCCUCUCCUGGCCAUGGCUCUAGUUCUCACUCGCAGCGGCCAGUAACCACUGAAACCCACCGCCCGCGUGAGCAAAGACGACAUCAGGGCGAUGGGACGGAUCCUGUGCGGCGACCAUCCUCGCAUUCGCGCCUCCCCGGGGCCACCCCUCUUCCCAUCGCGCCACGACGGAUUGCGGGCGACGGUGCUAUGGCGGCGUGGGCUGGGGUUGGG
This 519-nucleotide unclassified non-coding RNA is filed under the name Zea mays. RNAcentral's name for it is "misc RNA Zm00001eb383070". Lineage: Eukaryota; Viridiplantae; Streptophyta; Magnoliopsida; Poales; Poaceae. The record is from RNAcentral.